CCUACGGGAGACAGCAGUGGGGAAUAUUGGGCAAUGGGCGCAAGCCUGACCCAGCAACGCCGCGUGAAGGAAGAAGGCUCUCGGGUUGUAAACUUCUUUUCUCAGGGACGAAGAAUGUGACGGUACCUGAGGAAUAAGCCACGGCUAACUACGUGCCCGCAGUCGCGGUAAUACGUAGGUGGCAAGCGUUAUCCGGAUUUAUUGGGUGUAAAGGGCGUGUAGGCGGGAGCGCAAGUGUGAUGUGAAAACUCAGGGCUCAACCCUGAGCCUGCGUUGGAAACUGUGGUGCUUGAGUGCGGGGGAGGCAAUCGGAAUUCCGGGUGUAGCGGUGAAAUGCGUAGAUAUACGGAGGAACACCAAUGGCGAAGGCGGAUUGCUGGACAGUAACUGACGCUGAAGCGCGAAGGCGUGGGGAGCGAACAGGAUUAGAUACCCCAGUAGUC
Molecule: ribosomal RNA, 443 nt
Filed under: uncultured bacterium
Lineage: Bacteria
Description: partial 16S ribosomal RNA
Rfam family: Bacterial small subunit ribosomal RNA
Source: RNAcentral